AAUAGAACAAAACCACUUCUGCUGGCUGGGCGUGUAAUCCUGCAGCUGGGGGAAAUCACAGAUUCAAGGACCUGGAAACCACUGGCACUUGUGCACAUCAGUCUGUCAGAGGAACUGAACUAGCUGAGAGCCAGGAGGCCCCUGUGGUUUCUGCUGCAACUUCCCAUGCAGUGCUGAGGAGAGGGAAGGUCUUUCUGAAGGCAGUCCCAGGCUCACAUCUAAUCACAUCCAUGGGGAGAACUUAUCGCAGAAAAUCUAUUAGAUCAGAGUUUCACCACCUGUGAUUUUGUGACCACCCAAACUGCUGAGAAAUUCUCCAGAAGAGCAUCAUGUGCAGAGAGCCAGGAGCAACUCUCAUUUACAGCCAAACAAAACUGUUAAAGCUAUUUUAUUCCUUUUAAA
Long non-coding RNA from Vidua chalybeata, 402 nucleotides. RefSeq lists it as uncharacterized. The transcript has 2 exons. NCBI's taxonomy places the organism in Eukaryota, Metazoa, Chordata, Aves, Passeriformes, Viduidae. The record is from RefSeq and is a predicted model, not a curated record.